GUUCCAGUGGUGUAGUCCGGUCAAGCAUACUGCCCUUUCAAGGCAGUGAUCCCGGGUUCAAAUCCCGGCUGGAGCA
This 76-nucleotide transfer RNA is filed under the name Candidatus Nitrosopumilus sp. RNAcentral's name for it is "tRNA-Glu". It matches the Rfam family "tRNA". Rfam says of the family: Transfer RNA (tRNA) molecules are approximately 80 nucleotides in length. Their secondary structure includes four short double-helical elements and three loops (D, anti-codon, and T loops). RNAcentral also lists the same sequence under 1 other name. The record is from RNAcentral. Lineage: Archaea; Thermoproteati; Nitrososphaerota; Nitrososphaeria; Nitrosopumilales; Nitrosopumilaceae.